GCAAACUUGGUCAUUUAGAGGAAGUAAAAGUCGUAACAAGGUUUCCGUAGGUGAACCUGCGGAAGGAUCAUUACCGAUUUGAGCGAGCCUGAUCUUUUUUGAUCACGGUCUUGCAAAAUUUUGUAUUUAAAACCCCACUCUUGUAAUCAUAAAAUUUAAUGUAAUGUAUGAUAGAAAUAAAGAUCACUUUCAACAACGGAUCUCUUGGCUCUCUAUAAGAGACAGGCAAACUUGGUCAUUUAGAGGAAGUAAAAGUCGUAACAAGGUUUCCGUAGGUGAACCUGCGGAAGGAUCAUUACCGAUUUGAGCGAGCCUGAUCUUUUUUGAUCACGGUCUUGCAAAAUUUUGUAUUUAAAACCCCACUCUUGUAAUCAUAAAAUUUAAUGUAAUGUAUGAUAGAAAUAAAGAUCACUUUCAACAACGGAUCUCUUGGCUCUCGCAUCGAUGAAGAACGCAGC
Molecule: unclassified non-coding RNA, 458 nt
Filed under: uncultured fungus
Lineage: Eukaryota; Fungi
Description: partial contains small subunit ribosomal RNA, internal transcribed spacer 1, and 5.8S ribosomal RNA
Rfam family: Eukaryotic small subunit ribosomal RNA (bases 1-73)
Source: RNAcentral